AUGGAACAUUCAAAUACCUUCGUGAUAGAGUAUGGGAGAGGAUUAAUGGGUGGAUGGAAAAGCUCUUGUCCGGCGAUGGAAGUGCUAAUAAAGUCAAUGGCACAAGCUAAUCCGAUAUUCUCUAUGUCUUGUUUCAGAUUACCAAGGGGUCUUUGUGAAUGUGUGACUUCUCUUAUUCAUCAAUUCUGGCGAGGAAGCAAGAAUGGGAAGAGGAAAACAAAAAACCUAGGCGGUUUGGGCUUCCAGAACAUGGAAUUAUUCAACCUUCCUCUCCUCUCACGGCAAGCAUGGCGACUACUUCAAGAACCGGGGUCCUUGAUCGCCUGCAUUCUG
Molecule: ribosomal RNA, 333 nt
Filed under: Triticum aestivum (bread wheat)
Lineage: Eukaryota; Viridiplantae; Streptophyta; Magnoliopsida; Poales; Poaceae
Description: partial small subunit ribosomal RNA
Source: RNAcentral